This 116-nucleotide signal recognition particle RNA is filed under the name Salmonella enterica subsp. enterica serovar Thompson. RNAcentral describes it as "4.5S ribosomal RNA". The stretch from base 8 to 104 matches the Rfam family "Bacterial small signal recognition particle RNA". From Rfam's summary of the family: The signal recognition particle (SRP) is a universally conserved ribonucleoprotein involved in the co-translational targeting of proteins to membranes. The record is from RNAcentral. RNAcentral also lists the same sequence under 2 other names. Lineage: Bacteria; Pseudomonadati; Pseudomonadota; Gammaproteobacteria; Enterobacterales; Enterobacteriaceae.
GGGGCUCUGUUGGUUCUCCCGCAACGCUACUCUGUUUACCAGGUCAGGUCCGGAAGGAAGCAGCCAAGGCAGAUGACGCGUGUGCCGGGAUGUAGCUGGCAGGGCCCCCACCCAUU